GGCUCUCGUCCGGGACACGGCUUUCCGGACUAGAGCCCUUGGAGGUGUUAAGUGUGAUGCUUCCAUAAUACAUUUGGAUGUUGUCAGCUAAGUUCACUUCUGAACUAAGGGGUUCCUCCAAAUGUUGGCUGAAAUUCAUCCCAAGGCUGGUCUGCAAAGUUUACAAUUCAUAAUGGAGCUACUGUACUGGCUAUUGGAAGGAGGAGAUUCUGAAGAUAAGGAGGUAAAACCUGUUUAGAAAUUAAAAAUGAGUUACGAUUUAAAGAAAAUUCAGAUGACUCAUUGUGAGUGCUAGUUCUCUUGUAGGAUGCCACUGGAAAUGUUGAAAUGAAAAAUAUUCAGCCGUCGGUCUUUGAAAUUUCCUGUGAUGUGUUUCAAUCGAGAUGCAAAGAACAUGGAAAAAUCAAAGUGCUCAAGUGGUUUAAAUAUGUUUUGGAUGUUCCUGUUUAUAGACUAUAAUACUUUUCCAAUUAAAAUCCUCAGUUGUCACGCAGAAGAAGGUUAAGCUGUAUUUGAUUGCCAGUUUUACUGAAAAUGCUUAGUAUUUUACAGUAUCACCAAAUAUAUUUUGUUUAGCCAAGGUAUAGGAAAAAUAAAAUAAAUUGUAUAGGUUGACUUUUUUCUAAAAUGUCUUUAUUGGAUAGAAUGAAUGUUUAUACCUGAAAAAA
This 668-nucleotide long non-coding RNA is filed under the name Pan troglodytes (chimpanzee). Its description in RNAcentral is "long non-coding RNA NONPTRT006332". Lineage: Eukaryota; Metazoa; Chordata; Mammalia; Primates; Hominidae. The record is from RNAcentral.